AUUGAACGCUGGCGGCAUGCCUCACACAUGCAAGUCGAACGGCAGCACGGGAGCAAUCCUGGUGGCGAGUGGCGAACGGGUGAGUAAUAUAUCGGAACGUGCCCGGUCGUGGGGGAUAACGUAGCGAAAGCUACGCUAAUACCGCAUACGAUCUACGGAUGAAAGCGGGGGAUCGCAAGACCUCGCGCGAUUGGAGCGGCCGAUAUCAGAUUAGGUAGUUGGUGAGGUAAAGGCUCACCAAGCCGACGAUCUGUAGCUGGUCUGAGAGGACGACCAGCCACACUGGGACUGAGACACGGCCCAGACUCCUACGGGAGGCAGCAGUGGGGAAUUUUGGACAAUGGGCGCAAGCCUGAUCCAGCAAUGCCGCGUGCAGGAUGAAGGCCUCGGUU
RNAcentral lists this ribosomal RNA (392 nucleotides) under uncultured bacterium. Its description in RNAcentral is "bacterial SSU rRNA". It matches the Rfam family "Bacterial small subunit ribosomal RNA", at positions 29 to 424 of the family's 1533-position model. The record is from RNAcentral.